This is an RNA transcript of Aedes albopictus (Asian tiger mosquito), 4435 nucleotides long. It is a transcript of the gene named matrix metalloproteinase-14, with no coding region annotated. The transcript has 9 exons. NCBI's taxonomy places the organism in Eukaryota, Metazoa, Arthropoda, Insecta, Diptera, Culicidae. The record is from RefSeq and is a predicted model, not a curated record.
CUAAUCAGUCACUCUCGUAUGCUCGGACUGACUGGACGCUUCCCCUUUCGGACCAGCAGCGGACGAACUCGUCAUCCUCCACAUUCCAUUCGAACUGGCUGUGAGCGCACAGUUUUUUUUUUUUGUGUCGUCGUUUCUUUCUUCUGUCUGAUAGCUGAGCUUGCGGAGUUUUAAUCAUUAUUAGUGCUAGUCGUAUUUCACGGGAAUAAAAAGGCAUCAGUACAUCAUCGGUUGCAAGUGCGGCGCGAGUGUCGAACCCACCACCAGGUAUCGAACCACCGGAGAGGUUGGGAAGCAUUGAACAAUCAUCAAUCCCCGGCGGUUGGUUGAGUCAUUGUCGGCCAAUGUGGUAUUGUGUUGUCUCUCCAUGACUACACGGCCGAUUGACGGCGAUUGAUAGUUAUUAAUCUGUGCUGCUGUGCUGCAAAGUCACCAAAAACCUCGUUCAGGGAAACGGAAAGUGCGAAGCCCGUGAUCAGUGUUUGAAGGAAAACUGAAACGAAAAAUUGUGUUGGGAAAAGGUGUGACAACUAGCAGAAACCUCAUUCGCGCGCGCUCGACGGUGACGGACGAAAUUCAAAUUGUGAAGAAAACUGGUGAAAAUCGAUUGGUUCUUUCGGGACGGAGCGCGUGGUGCUUGUGGUGGCAAAAUUCAACGGCAACGCGUUUUGCGAAUUCGGGGCAAUUCCAGUGACAACGGUUGUCACGUGAAGUCAAAAAACAAAAACAACUAUCUGAACCAUAAGAGUAUUGGAUUUUUUUUUAUUUUCAACAGAGCACUGCCAGCUUCAGUAUUUAAAAAAAGGUCAUACAAAUUACAACCAGGUGUUUCCAGUAGAUAAAGAAAAAACAAAUCAAGACAGCGCUACUGCGUGCAAAAAAAGUGAACAUCAAAAGUGAGCAAAACUUGUCGCAGCAGCAGCGUUACUGGAAGUCGUGAGGAUUAACCCAAUCUGUGGAGUGUGGGGUGUGUGUGAGUGCAUUGAGGACGAGCGUUUUCGGAAUCAAAUGUUGCUGUAGUGGGACCAACGUUUUCAACGCCCCGUACCCUCCGAUUUUAGUUCUCUUUUAGCCUUAAGUCACCGCCUUUGGGCCAAGGUAGUCGUAGAGCACUGUAGCACACAGACGUGCAAACUGUAUCACCCCAAUAAUGCACCGAAGUAGGAUACACUGGCUGUGGCCAGCGGCGGUGGCCCUUCUGGUGGUCGCACCUUGGACGCCCAUUUCAGCGACACCUGUCCAAACAACGUCACAAGCGGAGCUCUACCUGUCACAGUUUGGCUACCUCAGUGCAAAGUUCCGAAAUCCCACCAGUGGGAGUCUUCUGGAGAAGGAUACAUGGGAGAAGGCAAUCAUGGAGUUCCAGAGCUUUGCCGGGCUCAACGUAACCGGCGAGUUGGAUGGCGAUACGAUGGAGCUCAUGUCACUGCCUCGGUGCGGAGUACGAGAUAAGGUCGGGUUCGGUUCGGAUUCCCGAUCGAAACGAUACGCCCUGCAGGGCAGUCGGUGGAAGGUGAAAGCCCUCACCUACAGGAUAUCCAAGUAUCCGUCGCGACUAGAUCGAAACGAAGUAGAUAAGGAAAUAGCCAAGGCGUUCUCGGUGUGGAGCGAAUACACCGAUCUAUCGUUCACGGCGAAGAAGAGCGCUCCGGUGCACAUAGAUAUUAGGUUCGAAGUGAACGAGCACGGUGAUGGCGAUCCGUUCGACGGUCCGGGAGGAACUCUGGCGCACGCUUACUUCCCAGUGUACGGAGGGGACGCUCACUUUGACGAUGCGGAGUUUUGGACGAUCGGGAAAAGUCGAGGGACGAAUCUGUUCCAGGUUGCUGCCCAUGAGUUUGGUCACUCGCUCGGGUUGAGCCAUUCGGAUGUACGGUCGGCGCUGAUGGCACCGUUCUACCGGGGGUAUGAUCCGGUCUUCCGGUUGGAUUCUGAUGAUGUUCAGGGAAUCCAAGCUCUCUACGGACGUAAAACCGGUGGUGGUGGUGCUGGAGGCGCGGGUGGUGGUUUCAAUCCACCACGCACAACGUCACGCCCUGUGCAGCGAGAUCCCGACUCCGAACUGUGCUCCUCACCGAAGAUCGAUGCCAUGUUCAACACGGCCGAUGGCAGCACGUACGCCUUCAAGGGAGACAACUACUACAAGCUGACGGAGAAUGCCGUGGCCGAGGGGUACCCGAAGAAGAUCGCCGAAGGAUGGCCGGGACUGCCAGGAAACAUCGACGCCGCCUUCACAUACAAAAACGGAAAGACGUACUUCUUCCAGGGGACCAAAUACUGGAGGUAUUCCGGCCGACAGGUGGACGGAGACUACCCGAAAGAGAUCAGCGAAGGAUUCACCGGCAUUCCGGAUCAUCUGGACGCUGCUCUGGUGUGGGGUGGCAACGGCAAGAUCUACUUCUACAAGGGUAGUAAAUUCUGGCGGUUCGAUCCGCUGAAGCGACCACCAGUCAAGUCCACGUAUCCGAAACCCAUCUCCAACUGGGAAGGACUGCCCAAUAACAUUGAUGCUGCGCUGCAGUACACCAAUGGUUAUACGUACUUCUUCAAGGACGAUAAGUACUAUCGGUUUAACGAUAGGACAUUCUCAAUUGACCAAUCCGACCCACCGUUCCCACGGCCGGUGGCGCACUGGUGGUACGGCUGCAAGAACACUCCCUCGACGUUCGACACGCUAGGUAAUGUUAAAGCUAGUAAGAAUGAAGAAGUCCAGCACGACAAUGUCGCCGAUGAUUUGAUUUUGGAUGCGGAACACAUGCAUCCUUCGCUCAGAGUCAAUAAUGAAGGCCGUGAUGUCUAGCUAGCUUGUGGGUGGAUAUCCCCCCUUUCCUCGAACCAACUCCAAACCCAAACUCCGCCUGUGUUGCUGCAUUGCAACACACUCCCGAUCCACGUGGUGAUCCCCUACAUGAUGAAAGUUUUCUACCGAAACUCAUACACAGCUUCCAUCCGCCGCCAGUAGUGGCGCUUUUGUUUCGUUAUCAGUUUAGAGUCUCGCUUCUGUUCCGUUAUGAUUAUGUAUUGUAGAGGAAAUUAUCGAAACAAAAAAAAAAAAAAUACGAGCGGAAAUGUUUGGCCAUUUUCAUUCUGUAACGCGUGAGCAUUCCGGACGAUUCAGGGUGGCCAAAACUAUGCUCGUAAGAUUGUUUUUAAGUUCGGAUGCAGACAAGACACAACCACCACACCAACAGACAAACACCCCACUCUAUGGCCAACAACCAUCGAAGACUGCAGCCCAGCCAAUUUUAUUUAGUAGCAAUUAUGCGAAGAGAUCCGGUACCGACGAGCGACCUGCCGGCGACGACUACAACCGAGGAAGUGGGGCGAGCUCCAUCUGGACCAACGUCAGUAUUAUCCUGUUCUCAGCACUGCUAGGGCUCGCACUGAACUUCUAAUCAGCCUGAGUCGGAGCGCGCGAGGUUUGCGUUCGUCAUUUGUUACCAGUUCGCUUCCGAGGAGUAAGUUCAGCGAUCGAGUGAUUGAGAUUUUGUGAGUUCGAGAAGGGAAAGAAACUAUGCCCAAUUCAACCGACCAGCCCCCCAUGUGAGAACGAGAAAUAACAUACGUAGCAACAGCAGAAGCAGCAGACGAUGAGUUUUGCGUCAGUAAAUUGAUCUCACAAUUUGUUCCGAGCGCAGUGCAAACAACUAUACACACUAUUUCGAGCCAGUGACCCAGCCAGAUCCCUUCUCCGAGGGAGCCUUAAAUGGAAACCCCUCCAUCUGGACCCUUGAGCAGUAACAGUAAAACACGUCGUGAUACAAAGAACUUAUGAAUAUUUUUUUCUGAACCAGUGUGUUCCAGCAAACGCACAAGCAACUGAAUCGAUUUUCUUAGUUUCAGUAUACAAAGUCUAUUCUACAUGUUAAUAUUUUUUGUUCCAAUUCAACCACCAUAGGAUUUCCAAUUGGUUUUCUGCUAUAACAAAGAAACACAAAUAUUUCAGUCAAAGUCAUUACCAUAAGAGCCUUAAGAUUUUUAAUUAGGGAUUUACAACAUAAAACUUCGAAUGAUACGAGUGAAGAGAAAACAGUAAACGGUGCCUUUUAUCGACCUUGUAAAUAACCAUUUUAACUAAAGUAAUUCUAAACGGAAGAAAAACGUACUAAAACGCAAUCUGAAAGAUUGUAAUGCAAUGUGAAGGGAGAAGUAGCAUUCUACCGAUUGUUGAUUGUUAGUUAUCAUUUUUCCUAUGCCUUCAAAAAAAAUCAAACACACUUUUUGUUAUCCAAUUUUAAUGAUAAAAGGAAAUUUCAAACUUACCAUAUCUUCGUGCAUUUCUCUUCAAAUCAAAGUGAACUUGAAUGCCUUCAUUAUGUGUAUCAUUGCAGAAUUAGGUGAAUUUAUUAUCAUAAUAUGAAAAUUUUGUACAUAUUUAUUGCGAAUAGACUUAGGAUUAAACGGAAAGUAUAAUGAGAAACGGAAAACAAAACAA